GAUGAACGCUGGCGGCGUGCCUAAUACAUGCAAGUCGAGCGAACAGACGAGGAGCUUGCUCCUCUGACGUUAGCGGCGGACGGGUGAGUAACACGUGGAUAACCUACCUAUAAGACUGGGAUAACUUCGGGAAACCGGAGCUAAUACCGGAUAAUAUAUUGAACCGCAUGGUUCAAUAGUGAAAGACGGUUUUGCUGUCACUUAUAGAUGGAUCCGCGCCGCAUUAGCUAGUUGGUAAGGUAACGGCUUACCAAGGCGACGAUGGGUAGCCGACCUGAGAGGGUGAUCGGCCAACAUGGGACGGAGACCCGGCCCAAACUCCUAGGGGAGGCAGCAGUGGGGAAUCUUCCGCAAUGGGCGAAAGUUUGACCGAGCAACGCCGCGGGAGUGAAGAAGGUUUUCGGAUCGUAAAACUUUGUUGGUAGGGAAGAAAGAAUGUGGAAGUGAAAAGCUCACUAAGUGACGUUAACUACUCAGAAAGGCACGGCUAACUACGUG
Molecule: ribosomal RNA, 498 nt
Filed under: uncultured bacterium
Lineage: Bacteria
Description: partial 16S ribosomal RNA
Rfam family: Bacterial small subunit ribosomal RNA
Source: RNAcentral